Long non-coding RNA from Diospyros lotus (date-plum), 1660 nucleotides. RefSeq lists it as uncharacterized. The record is from RefSeq and is a predicted model, not a curated record. The transcript is spliced from 4 exons. Lineage: Eukaryota; Viridiplantae; Streptophyta; Magnoliopsida; Ericales; Ebenaceae.
GGGGGGGGGUGUUGUGGUUAUGCGAAAUGGCGGGAACAGGGGAAGCAGAUUGUGAAGAAGAAUCGGACGGAAAGCGAUGCUUCUUCAUAUGGGAUGAAGACGAAUCUCAGCUGUACUACCAUCCUAGUUUCAGUGCAGGCCUAUAAGUCGAGGAGUCAUAGCGUUAGCCUCCAUGUCAACUUAUGAUCCCUCCAACCCAUUGGGGCUUCCCAGAAUUUGUCAAUUGAUCAGAAUAUCCAACAACUGUCACGAUCCAGAGGAAAGACUAUAGCUCGAGUGCUUCACAAGGAUUUGUCUUCAUUGCCAGUUGUGACAAUGGCUUUUGAACUACUUAUUGGGCCAAUGUUCUAAGAAUCAUUGAGCUGGUACUUGGGCUGCUUGUUGGGGUAGAAGAGGCCAAAAUGCGCCUCAGUCUCAGCUCCAUCCUUCUGGUUCUCAUCAAACAUGGCGAACAAGUAUGUUUCUAUGGCGUUUCCCGGCCUCAUUGGAGUCCCUGAUCCCUUCACAUGCUCAAUCAAAUUCCUGUAGUAUGUUGCUGCGUUCUCCAUGGUUGCUCCGGUGCCUCCUUCCGACGGCCACCCACUCUCUGAUACAACUAUCUCCAUGCCUCCCCCGCCGGCCCUCUCCACGGCCGCGUGCAUGGCAUCCAGCAUUGCGUCAAACAGGUUCCGAUAUCCAAACUCGCCGUCCUGCACCACCACUCCGGCGGGCGUGAACAACGCAUAUGGGAGCUGAAUGUUCUGGGUAUCUCCUGUUACAUCAGCUCAUAUUGUUUUGUUAUACAUAUAAUACUUGAAUUUGUAUACAUUUAACGAAUGAAGCAAUGCUCACCGGCAUAGGCAAAGUAAGGAUAUAUGUUGGCAAGCAAUGGAGCUCCGGUCUUGGCCAGGAAGUCGAUGAUGGGGACAAUGAACGACCUGGCAUCGUCCCUGAAAGAGCCCUGCGACGGUGGGUAUGAAUUUCCCAGCAGUCCCAUGUACGUUGCAGUCGAGACCUUGAUCCAACCUUGCAGGCCGGCAGCUGCAAGAGCGCUGCGAAUGUUCUGCAUCGCUGGGAGAACAAACUGCGUGAAGACAGACGACGACACGCCAUUAGGGUCCACCUCGUUUCCCACUGAGAUGUACCGGAACUUGACGUCUGGGAAGAAGACGACGACGUUCCUCAGAACCCACUGCGCCGCGGCCGAGGAGUCCAUUGCCAGAGCCUGAAGAUCAGAGUUGGGAACAUCAAGGAUGAGCUCAAUGUUGGAGGCUCUCAGGGCUCGGAGAAUUGCAUGACGCCUACAUAUGGGCCAACUGCAUUUGAGGAGCCAAUGUUCAAAUCAAAUCAAAAUUACAUUUCAUCCAAAGAUUGAGAAACACAGAGAUGGAGGAGUUGGAAAGGCGGCUAGCUAAAUAGAGCAGAAAUUGAACUUGAAGAAUACUGCAAACCUUGCAUUGUUGUUGGUGAAGAAGCCAUGGAAGAGCUAGAACUAAGCAAAUGAAGCUUGAGAUAAUUGUUUGAUUAAAUUUAAUUUAGCUCACCUCUCCUCAUGCAGCCUUUAAAUAUAUGAUGAAGAGUUGAAGCUCAACUCUUCCAUGCCACUUGUCCAAUAUUUUAAAUAUUUAUCAAAGUGCAAGCUGUCUUUAUUUUUUUUUAAUAACAUAUAAAUUUUAAUAAA